UUGAAAUUUUACUGUGAUUUGUCAGAGGUCUCAAAUUAUUAUUGUUACCAUUAUUUUUGAAAAAUGAUAAUACAAUUGAAGAUGAGAAACAUAAGUUCUUGAAAUGUGCACAAUAUAUGCAGAAUCUUGAGUCAUGCUAAUUCUUUUCCUAAUAAUUUAAAUAGUAUCAGAGACAUAUAAUACUUUUGUUUGGUAGUUUCUCAUAAAAAACAAAUAAUGAUAAAUAUUGACAAAAUAUGUACCGUAUUCAAUCUGGUAUUCAAUAGUUAGUAGUAACCAAAGGCAAACGCCGUACUGAGGUAAUAGAAAUGUUGAUUGAACACACAAGUCAUUUGAAAUUGAGAUGUGUGCCUUAAUAUUUAGAUAUUUUAAAUAGACUAUCGUAAGGUGUAUUUGGAACUACAUGUAUACAUCAUAUGCAUGGAUUUAAAAAAAAUAAUAAUGUGCUGCUUAAUCAAACCAAUCGGUCUUUAUAACAUUGAUUCGUCUGGAUGCAUAAUUUUAUUUAAUAUGUUAUGUUUUAAAAAAAAAACCAUUAAAAUCAUGAAAAACUAUACAAAAAUAUGAUACGAAAUAGCUUACAUGUAUUAAGUGCAUGAGGUAUGAAAUGGUAGAUGCAUUUUUCCCAUUGGGUACAAAAUGGAUAUUAUCAUGGGUACGAAAUGGCAGAGGUAUGAAAUGGUCAGUGUACGAAAUGACUUGCUUCCAAGGAUUAAGGCUGAGAAUGACCAUUGAAUGGGACUUUUAUGGUAACUUUUACUGUGGCUGCAUGAAAUGUUUGUGUGAUAUAACUAACAGUAAAAUGGGGCAUAAUUGUGCAUGGUGGUAUUGAUGAUCACUCAAGACUCAUUCCAUUCCUAAGGGCUUCUAUUUUCAACACAUCAAAGGCUGCUGCAUGCUUUUUUGUUCAGGGUGUGAAGAACUAUGGAGUACCCAGCAGAAUACAUGCUGACCAUGGUACAGAAUAUGCAGACUCUGGACGGUUCAUGAUUUCAGUAAAUGGUGAGGGAAGAGGAAGCUUCAUGACUGGGCCUUCUGUUCACAAUCAAAGAAUUGAAAGAUUAUGGCGGGACAUAUUUAUCAAAGUCCUUGAUGUUUUCUACAAACUAUUUUGUCUUAUGGAAGAACAGAACAUUCUU
Long non-coding RNA from Mytilus trossulus (common blue mussel), 1139 nucleotides. RefSeq lists it as uncharacterized. The transcript has 3 exons. The record is from RefSeq and is a predicted model, not a curated record. Lineage: Eukaryota; Metazoa; Mollusca; Bivalvia; Mytilida; Mytilidae.